This 366-nucleotide ribosomal RNA is filed under the name Phoxocephalinae sp. BOLD:ACZ2230. Its description in RNAcentral is "partial 16S ribosomal RNA". The stretch from base 235 to 366 matches the Rfam family "Archaeal large subunit ribosomal RNA", at positions 2542 to 2675 of the family's 2987-position model. The record is from RNAcentral. Lineage: Eukaryota; Metazoa; Arthropoda; Malacostraca; Amphipoda; Phoxocephalidae.
GAUGAACGGUUUAAUAGAAUAUAUUUUUUUUUGUUUGUUAGUGUAAUUUGUAGUUUAAGUAAAAAUACUUAAAUUGUUUUAAGGGGCGAUAAGACCCUAAAAGCUUUAAAAAUUUAAUUGUUGUUUGCGGUAAAAUAUUAUUAGCUGGGGUAGUUGUUUAAAUAAUAUAAACAUUUUUUACGCAUUAGGGGAGAGAUCCUUUAUAUAAGGAUAUUUAGUUUUAGUUACUUUAGGGAUAACAGUGUAAUAGGUUUUAAUAGCUCUCAUAGAUAAACCUGUUUGCCACCUCGAUGUUGAAUUAGAUAUUUUUAUUGAGCAGAAACAAUAAAAAAAGGUUUGUUCAACCUUUAUAAAUCUACAUGAUUU